GAAAUUGUAAGAAAAACUUGGAAAUUUUUAUUGAAAUUUUGGAGAAUGUUUAUUUAGUCAAUUAUCUACUCUCUGUUGCCGUUGCCGUUGAAUUGCCCCUGCUACUCUAGCUUCGUAAUCGCUAAUACUGGGUGCUUCGUUGCAAUUCGUUUCUCUAAAACGUUUUGGGUUGUGAUGACAUGCCUAUUCACAUGUGAACAAAGGUUCUUUGCUCUCAAUUAUGCUGCAGAUGCUGCCUGCACCGUUCUACGGGUUGAUCAGGUUGCAUACUUUUGCAAGUUUUCCAAAAAUACAGCAUGCCCGUGCCUGGUGUUGUAUGACUCCAAACCCUUCUUACAGCAUGAUGUCAACCAUAUGUGUGCCAUCACUUCACAAAUGCCUUCUGAAACUUUUUUUU
Molecule: non-coding RNA, 397 nt
Organism: Malus domestica (apple)
Lineage: Eukaryota; Viridiplantae; Streptophyta; Magnoliopsida; Rosales; Rosaceae
Source: RefSeq, a predicted model, not a curated record